Molecule: ribosomal RNA, 496 nt
Filed under: uncultured bacterium
Lineage: Bacteria
Description: partial 16S ribosomal RNA
Rfam family: Bacterial small subunit ribosomal RNA
Source: RNAcentral
GAUGAACGCUGGCGGCGUGCCUAAUACAUGCAAGUCGAGCGAACGGACGAGAAGCUUGCUUCUCUGAUGUUAGCGGCGGACGGGUGAGUAACACGUGGAUAACCUACCUAUAAGACUGGGAUAACUUCGGGAAACCGGAGCUAAUACCGGAUAAUAUUUUGAACCGCAUGGUUCAAAAGUGAAAGACGGUCUUGCUGUCACUUAUAGAUGGAUCCGCGCUGCAUUAGCUAGUUGGUAAGGUAACGGCUUACCAAGGCAACGAUGCAUAGCCGACCUGAGAGGGUGAUCGGCCACACUGGAACUGAGACACGGUCCAGACUCCUACGGGAGGCAGCAGUAGGGAAUCUUCCGCAAUGGGCGAAAGCCUGACGGAGCAACGCCGCGUGAGUGAUGAAGGUCUGCGGAUCGUAAAACUCUGUUAUUAGGGAAGAACAUAUGUGUAAGUAACGGUGCACAUCUGGACGGUACCUAAGCAGAAAGCCACGGCUAACUACGU